RNAcentral lists this long non-coding RNA (810 nucleotides) under Nicotiana benthamiana. Its description in RNAcentral is "long non-coding RNA (NBEN_LNC028378)". Lineage: Eukaryota; Viridiplantae; Streptophyta; Magnoliopsida; Solanales; Solanaceae. The record is from RNAcentral.
AAAAUUCGAAUCAUUAUUUUUUUUACUAAUUAUUUAGAUAUAUAAUUUGGUUUAAUCAACUGUAUAUCAUUAAAUUUCACCAUAUUUUUUCUUUAUGGGCAUGUAAUUAAAAUCAAAAGUUACUCACUUGGCGUAUGUUUAAUUCACGAAUUUUGCUCGAUGUACAAAUGGAUGGCUUAAAAGGAUAUCUUCUAAUACCCCUUUUUCUUAUUUUUGUACAGAUGUAUGUAUGUGUGCGUAUUUUCCCCUCACUUUGGCAUUUUGUCGAGGAUUUGGCAUGGUCGAUUCUGCAGAAUUUGUUUUCUUCAGAUUCGAGAUGAUUGACCCGUUGUUCUUAUGGUUUGAGGUGUUGGGAGCAAUCUCCUCAUCAGCAGAAUCAUUUCGCAUUGGUUUUGGUCGAUUUGGACGGCCGAAACUCCAUUUCCGCCCACCUGAUGCUCAUCGGAGAGUUGCAGAGGUUUGGGUACGACGAAUGGCACGGUAGAAUAGCUAGUAUGAACUAAAUGAAGUGGCCGUAAAUUUCUUUUUGUUCAUAAUAAUUGUGUCCCUCUCUGUAGCUGUUGUACGAGGAUCCAGUUCAAGAAUCAAGUAUGGGAUUUUACUCGUCGACACUAACAUUAAUCCCAUUUGGUUUUGAACUUUGGUCAAAACGGUCCUUAGUAAACAAACGUGCCAAAACAAUACUAAAAGUGAACUGCAGCAAUUACCUAGCUUAUGUCAGUAUGUGCCAAAUCGAAUUUGCUGCCGUCUGGGUUUAGAUUAAUUUUGAAAUAAGAUCAAAAACCCAUUUUGGGGUUUCACAUUCACGGA